GUUACCCUUGCGGAAAGGCAAUUGAUUUUGUACGCUAUAUACACGUGAGAGGUAACGGAAAAUGCCUCUCAAAUGUAGAUUCAAGAUCGCAUCUUAUCGCUGUAAUAGUACUUACGUGUUUUUACCGUAAACCGUAGUUCAUAACCAUUUCGAAAGACGGCUUUUAUUUUUCGUUAGCUCUUUACUGCGACCUCACCUGGUGAUAACAGUGGUGUUUAUUAUGAAAUUCCUUGUAAUAUUCAUAAUAUUCAUUGCAUCCGAGAGAAUAUCUCUCGCAAAACACAGUCCCCGGUGGCUGUCCUCGGGGAGACGAACAAUUAUACUGCUUGGAAAUAACAGUUUAUACUAUUUCUAUAAUUUUAAGGGCGAAUUAAAUACUUUGGUUCUGGUCAUCCACUAUAAACCUAUGUAUAGAAGUAGAAAGGCCACUCACGCCAGCGUGGAAUACGGCCCAGGGUCGUUCAAGCGCGGUCAGGCGAAAAAUCCGCCAGAGUAUCUAAUUACGAGAUUCCAAAAACUUUUGGCUAUGAAAAAGAAAAUGGAAGAAAAAAUCGACAGUAAACCUUUUUUU
Maniola jurtina (meadow brown) is the source of this 571-nucleotide long non-coding RNA. RefSeq lists it as uncharacterized. NCBI's taxonomy places the organism in Eukaryota, Metazoa, Arthropoda, Insecta, Lepidoptera, Nymphalidae. The transcript is spliced from 4 exons. The record is from RefSeq and is a predicted model, not a curated record.